GGAAUGAACUCUUUUCCACUUCAGUUGGAACACUUACAGGUUUAAUAGUUGAUAUAGCUAUUUCCAGGACAUGAGGUCUUGCUUCACAGAUUGCUGUUUGAACCACUUCUUCAACUACUACAUUAGGAACCACCUUGCAUUUAAUUCUUGCACAUAUGUAAAGUUUUCACAGAAUUUGAAAGAAUGCACCAUGGAUGGAACCAAGACAUGUUCCUGAAGAAAUGUUUUAUUCAACAAAACUUGCUCAACUUGAACAUUUUCCAGAGACAUCCAGCCUUGCCUGGGAGACC
Long non-coding RNA from Catharus ustulatus (Swainson's thrush), 290 nucleotides. RefSeq lists it as uncharacterized. The record is from RefSeq and is a predicted model, not a curated record. Lineage: Eukaryota; Metazoa; Chordata; Aves; Passeriformes; Turdidae. The transcript is spliced from 3 exons.